CGAUAGAGUACACGAUAGAGUAGCAGUCGACUGUCCACGACCACGAAAGAGACUCCAAAGCUGCACUGCCGUCCAUCGUCCAGGACCACCGACCACGACCGUCGUUCAAGACUCCGAAGCUGCACCGCCAUGAACGACCGCCGACCGCCAACAGCCCACCCGUAACUCGGAAAUCUCAAAUCGGAGUCGUAUGUUGUAAGAGCAGGUUCUGUGCAUUCUUGUUCGUAGCAGAAGAGCAACUUAUUGUGUUUCCCAAGUAGGCAAGAAGCAAAAAGGACGUGGAGGAUGUGGAGGACGUGGAGGUCGUUUUGGAGCUAGACUUUUGACAAUAAAUGUUCCACCACCUAAUGAAAAUCAGACACCAUCGGCAUCUGCAUCGGCAUCGGCAUCUGCAUCUGCAUCGGCAUCGGCAUCGAUUCCCAUAUUAGCAUCAAGACCAUUAUCACCAUCCACGCCAUCUACAGCUACUAAUGGCCAGGCUAGACAAGAUGUUGUUAGGCAAGUGCAUGGACGCUUAUGAAUUGAUGUCAAGGGCAAUAUGUUGACUAACUCAGAUGUAUGUGCUAGAAAGAUUACUAAGUUAUUCAAAGAGCGAACAGAUCCAAAUGGUUAUACAUGGGGACAACUUAGUGUUGAUACAAUUGAAUUUUAUUGGGAGGAGUUCAAGUGUGUUUUGCAGAAAUCUUUUGAUUGGGAUGAUGCAAAAACAACUUUAGUGUAUAAUGCUUGGGAGAUGAAAGCUAAAAUAAGGUAUGCUGAUUACAUAAGCAGAUUAAGGAAAAAUCCAAGACCUGUCUAUAUCCCACCAGAAAUAUGGACAAAGUGGAAUGAAGUUUGAAAUUCUGAAGAGGGCAAGAAGAAAACAGAAUUGGCUAAGAAAAACAGACGUGGAGGAGUUUUAAAUGGAGUUGCUCAAUCUACCCAUACCAUAGGGUCAACACCUCACGUAAAAGUUGCAGCUCAACUUGAAAGACAAUUGGGUCAUUAUCCAUCAUAUUAUGAACUUUUCAAGCAUACACAUACCAAACAACAUGAUGGGGAAACAUUCAUAGUUGAAAAAGCCAAACAAAUUCAUGAACAAGUUGCAACGCAACGGGAGAUGUUGACAGGAACUGGAGAGCAAGUGGAUGAUAAUCAAUUAUAUUAUGAUGUGGUUGGUGGACAUGACAAGAAAAGAAGGAUUUAUGGACUUGGUUCAUAUGGUUGUUCUAUUGUUAACGGUUCAACUAGUGAUAACACUUCUGGCAAUAUGACUCCAACAUCUCGACCACCUGACAAUGCUACUUUUGUAAGUGUACAAGAUGAAAUUCAGAGUUUGAAGGCUACUAUUCUCCUUAUGCAACAACGACUUGUUGCUAUUGAUGGCGGAAGAGCGGGUACUUCAUCAUCACCUCCAUCUCAAACCGAUUAAUUUCAAUAUGGGUUGUUGUUUUUCAAGACUAUUACAUUAAUGCUUAGACUUGAAUUGACUAUUAUUAUGUAUUAAAUGUGAUUGGAUAAUGUAUUAUUACUUGAACUUAAUGUGAAUUGAUAAUAUUUUAGACUUAUGUUA
Molecule: long non-coding RNA, 1552 nt
Organism: Ipomoea triloba (trilobed morning glory)
Lineage: Eukaryota; Viridiplantae; Streptophyta; Magnoliopsida; Solanales; Convolvulaceae
Exons: 7
Source: RefSeq, a predicted model, not a curated record